CUUGCAAACUGGAGAUGGCGACCGGCGCACGGGCGAGUAACACGUAUCCAACCUGCCGAUAACUCGGGGAUAGCCUUUCGAAAGAAAGAUUAAUACCCGAUGGCAUAAUAGAACCGCAUGGUUUGAUUAUUAAAGAAUUUCGGUUAUCGAUGGGGAUGCGUUCCAUUAGGCAGUUGGUGGGUAACGGCCCACCAAACCCUCGAUGGAUAGGGGUUCUGAGAGGAAGGUCCCCCACAUUGGAACUGAGACACGGUCCAAACUCCUACGGGAGGCAGCAUG
This 279-nucleotide ribosomal RNA is filed under the name uncultured bacterium. RNAcentral's name for it is "partial 16S ribosomal RNA". It matches the Rfam family "Bacterial small subunit ribosomal RNA", at positions 75 to 353 of the family's 1533-position model. The record is from RNAcentral.